GCCACUGUAACUGAAUGGUGUUGGAGGCGUUUGCUGUUCGCGGCGUCCUCGGGUUCGAUUCCCGGCGGCGGCA
Molecule: non-coding RNA, 73 nt
Organism: Artomyces pyxidatus
Lineage: Eukaryota; Fungi; Basidiomycota; Agaricomycetes; Russulales; Auriscalpiaceae
Source: the annotation of a GenBank genome assembly